Molecule: long non-coding RNA, 1870 nt
Organism: Gallus gallus (chicken)
Lineage: Eukaryota; Metazoa; Chordata; Aves; Galliformes; Phasianidae
Exons: 3
Source: RefSeq, a predicted model, not a curated record
GGGCAGAGCAGCGCUGGUGUCAGCGGCGGCACACAGCUCCCAAUGCCCGCAAGCUUGCUACAGGGAAAGGGGUGAAGGAGAGGCAGGGACGGGAAAUCAAACUAUGCUGCAGGAUUUGGGGCUGUUCCAACCUAACAAAGCAGCCGGGUGACCCCGAGGAGCAGCAGAAAGCACCCGGAGCCCCUCCGCCACCGCUGCAGCACGCGCUUCCUGCAUCCAUCCAUCCCAAGGCAGCCCGCAGUAACGCAGCAGAAAGACAAGGGUCAUGCUGAGCCGCAUCCUCCUCGCACACAACAGCCGAGCGGCAGCACCGAACAUGCAUGGCUCAGCCGUGCCGCCACGCCACGCCGGAACGGAGAGCCUUAAAAUAAGCACUGGAAAUGUCCUCCUCGCAAACACUUCAGCCUCCUUUUGAAGAGAAACAUAAAAAUAAUGCAUGGGAAUAAACACUCUCCUUCCACAGAAGCACAGAACUGAGCAGUUCAACACGCAACUUUGGGAACUUCUCCAAGAUUUAUAUGUUGUGCAUGAAAAGCAAAUGGCUUUUUCCUGCCUGGGAAAAUACUGAAGUGCCACAUUCAGGAGGCCAAACGCGUGCACUGCUGCCUGGUGCUGCACCUCGGAUGGAGCCCCAGUGCUGGGCUGACCCCCCCGGCCUCACUCCCUGCCUCACCAGACAGCCGAGCUCUUGGCACCCCUCUGCUUUUUGCAGCAACGCGCUGAGCGAUUUCUCUCUCUAUUUUUUUCCCAUUUCUUUCUAUAUUCUUUAAAUCUUUCUGACCAGUUAGACCAGAACCAUCCCAAUUGCAAAAUCCAGGAAAUCUGCCGCAACGCCCUGCAAUACUUACGAGGCCAUUAGCCAGAAACCUCAAACAAAUAAGUUGUGUUUUCUUUUUUCUGCUACACCAUGCUAACCACCAAGUAUUAACCCAUUGCUCAGGGAACAACAUCUGCAGCAAUCACUUCCUGAUUUAGGAGCAGGGAGAUUUGCUGCAGCAGCUCCUAUCCAUGGCUACAGCACGGCCACUCCGUGGGCACAGCGCACGGCUCCAUGGACCCACAGCACUGAAACUGGGAUUACUGGGAUUGGCUUCUGUGAGACCCAAACGGCCUCAGCAAUAAAUCACAGCACGGGGCAGGACAGUUCCUGGGCUGGGAAGAAGAAAGACACCUCUGAGCAGCAAAGCUGCAAACUGGGUUCGGUAUCAAACCUCUGCAUUCACACAGUGUUUUGUUUUGGGCUUUUUUUUUUCUUUUUUUUUCCAUGGGAAGAUGUCAAAAUACAAGAAAAAUAUAAGAAAAAAUAAGGUUUGUGAUCCAGUACAGGAAGCAGCUAUCACCUGCAGACAAACGCAGGCAGAGCACGGUGACAACAGCAGCGCACAGCCAGCACCCAUCGGCAGCAACGCGCUGCAACACCUUUCCUUAUUGCACGCUGAAACAGCAGCCAGGGCUGUGUGUUAUUUAUGAUAACUCAUUCCCUCUCCCUGCCUCUCCCUUUCCCCCAUCCUAAAAAGCCAAUAAAAUAAAACAAAGUGCUUCCUUUGGGGAACACAGCGGCAGUAACAGCGCUCCCAUCUGUUGCUGAGCACUGGGGAGGAAACAGAGUGCGGGGCUGAGAGUCAAAGGUCUGCAGGGCUCUAUUGAGAAAGGGAGCCCAGCAUCAUCCCAGCAAUGGGAGACGAUUCUGAACCACCUCCUGAAUCUUUUAACGAGCUCUGGAGGUAAAUAUGUUAAUUUGACUUCAAUCACAGUUCGGGGAGGGGAGAAAAAAAAGCACACCGUAUGAGUUGAGGGGAUCGAGUCUUAAAACUAUUCAUGCGUUGCUGCAUAUUUGAUGCUCAGCAAAUAAAGUUCCAAGGUUCUAUAA